This 1635-nucleotide ribosomal RNA is filed under the name Salmonella enterica subsp. enterica serovar Enteritidis. RNAcentral describes it as "partial 23S ribosomal RNA". It matches the Rfam family "Bacterial large subunit ribosomal RNA", at positions 1252 to 2865 of the family's 2925-position model. Lineage: Bacteria; Pseudomonadati; Pseudomonadota; Gammaproteobacteria; Enterobacterales; Enterobacteriaceae. The record is from RNAcentral.
GAAGGUGUGUCGUGAGGCAUGCUGGAGGUAUCAGAAGUGCGAAUGCUGACAUAAGUAACGAUAAAGCGGGUGAAAAGCCCGCUCGCCGGAAGACCAAGGGUUCCUGUCCAACGUUAAUCGGGGCAGGGUGAGUCGACCCCUAAGGCGAGGCCGAAAGGCGUAGUCGAUGGGAAACGGGUUAAUAUUCCCGUACUUGGUGUUACUGCGAAGGGGGGACGGAGAAGGCUAUGUUGGCCGGGCGACGGUUGUCCCGGUUUAAGCGUGUAGGUGUGUGUUCCAGGUAAAUCCGGUUCACUUUAACACUGAGGCGUGACGACGAGGCACUACGGUGCUGAAGCAACAAAUGCCCUGCUUCCAGGAAAAGCCUCUAAGCAUCAGGUAACAUCAAAUCGUACCCCAAACCGACACAGGUGGUCAGGUAGAGAAUACCAAGGCGCUUGAGAGAACUCGGGUGAAGGAACUAGGCAAAAUGGUGCCGUAACUUCGGGAGAAGGCACGCUGACACGUAGGUGAAGUGAUUUACUCAUGGAGCUGAAGUCAGUCGAAGAUACCAGCUGGCUGCAACUGUUUAUUAAAAACACAGCACUGUGCAAACACGAAAGUGGACGUAUACGGUGUGACGCCUGCCCGGUGCCGGAAGGUUAAUUGAUGGGGUCAGCGCAAGCGAAGCUCCUGAUCGAAGCCCCGGUAAACGGCGGCCGUAACUAUAACGGUCCUAAGGUAGCGAAAUUCCUUGUCGGGUAAGUUCCGACCUGCACGAAUGGCGUAAUGAUGGCCAGGCUGUCUCCACCCGAGACUCAGUGAAAUUGAACUCGCUGUGAAGAUGCAGUGUACCCGCGGCAAGACGGAAAGACCCCGUGAACCUUUACUAUAGCUUGACACUGAACAUUGAGCCUUGAUGUGUAGGAUAGGUGGGAGGCUUUGAAGUGUGGACGCCAGUCUGCAUGGAGCCGACCUUGAAAUACCACCCUUUAAUGUUUGAUGUUCUAACGUGGACCCGUUACCCGGGUUGCGGACAGUGUCUGGUGGGUAGUUUGACUGGGGCGGUCUCCUCCUAAAGAGUAACGGAGGAGCACGAAGGUUGGCUAAUCCUGGUCGGACAUCAGGAGGUUAGUGCAAUGGCAUAAGCCAGCUUGACUGCGAGCGUGACGGCGCGAGCAGGUGCGAAAGCAGGUCAUAGUGAUCCGGUGGUUCUGAAUGGAAGGGCCAUCGCUCAACGGAUAAAAGGUACUCCGGGGAUAACAGGCUGAUACCGCCCAAGAGUUCAUAUCGACGGCGGUGUUUGGCACCUCGAUGUCGGCUCAUCACAUCCUGGGGCUGAAGUAGGUCCCAAGGGUAUGGCUGUUCGCCAUUUAAAGUGGUACGCGAGCUGGGUUUAGAACGUCGUGAGACAGUUCGGUCCCUAUCUGCCGUGGGCGCUGGAGAACUGAGGGGGGCUGCUCCUAGUACGAGAGGACCGGAGUGGACGCAUCACUGGUGUUCGGGUUGUCAUGCCAAUGGCACUGCCCGGUAGCUAAAUGCGGAAGAGAUAAGUGCUGAAAGCAUCUAAGCACGAAACUUGCCCCGAGAUGAGUUCUCCCUGAGACUUAGAGUCUCCUGAAGGAACGUUGAAGACGACGACGUUGAUAGGCCGGG